AGAGUUUGAUCCUGGCUCAGAACGAACGCUGGCGGCGUGCUUAACACAUGCAAGUCGAACGCGAAAAUUUUCCUCGGAAAGUGAGUAGAGUGGCGCACGGGUGAGUAACGCGUAAGUUAUCUACCUCGGCAUCCGGAAUAACUCACCGAAAGGUGUGCUAAUACCGGAUACGUUGAGUAAUCAAGAAAGGUGGCCUCUGAAUAUGCUACUGUGCUGAGAUGAGCUUGCGUACCAUUAGCUAGUUGGUAGGGUAAUGGCCUACCAAGGCAACGAUGGUUAGCGGGUCUGAGAGGAUGAUCCGCCACACUGGAACUGAAACACGGACCAGACUCCUACGGGAGGCAGCAGUGAGGAAUAUUGCGCAAUGGGGGAAACCCUGACGCAGCGACGCCGCGUGGAUGAUGAAGGCCUUCGGGUCGUAAAAUCCUGUCAGAUGGAAAGAAAUGCAUGGUGGCUAAUACCUGCCAUGUUUGACGGUACCAUCGAAGGAAGCACCGGCUAACUCCGUGCCAGCAGCCGCGGUAAUACGGAGGGUGCAAGCGUUGUUCGGAAUUACUGGGCGUAAAGCGCGCGUAGGCGGUUUGCUAAGUCAGAUGUGAAAGCCCAUGGCUCAACCAUGGACGUGCAUUUGAAACUGGCAGACUUGAGUAUUGGAGGGGGUGGUGGAAUUCCCGGUGUAGAGGUGAAAUUCGUAGAUAUCGGGAGGAAUACCGGUGGCGAAGGCGACCACCUGGCCAAAUACUGACGCUGAGGUGCGAAAGCGUGGGGAGCAAACAGGAUUAGAUACCCUGGUAGUCC
RNAcentral lists this ribosomal RNA (798 nucleotides) under uncultured bacterium. RNAcentral describes it as "bacterial SSU rRNA". It matches the Rfam family "Bacterial small subunit ribosomal RNA", at positions 8 to 796 of the family's 1533-position model. The record is from RNAcentral.